This 284-nucleotide unclassified non-coding RNA is filed under the name uncultured fungus. RNAcentral's name for it is "partial contains 5.8S ribosomal RNA, internal transcribed spacer 2, and large subunit ribosomal RNA". The stretch from base 1 to 52 matches the Rfam family "5.8S ribosomal RNA", at positions 103 to 154 of the family's 154-position model. The record is from RNAcentral. Lineage: Eukaryota; Fungi.
AACGCACAUUGCGCCCUUUGGUAUUCCGAAGGGCAUGCCUGUUCGAGCGUCAUUAUCACCCCUCAAGCCCGGCUUGUUGUUGGUCGCGGCGGCCACUUCCCUGGCCCGCCCGUCCCAAAGAUAAUGACGGCGUCUGUGAGGACUCCUGUACACUGAGCUUUCGGGCACGUACACGGCUAGAAGUCCAGACCCGGUCUGACGGUCGCCCCCUUCACCGGGGGCGGCCACCCCCCCUUUUUACCAAGGUUGACCUCGGAUCAGGUAGGAAUACCCGCUGAACUUAA